RNAcentral lists this transfer RNA (71 nucleotides) under Chelonia mydas (Green sea turtle). It matches the Rfam family "tRNA". Rfam says of the family: Transfer RNA (tRNA) molecules are approximately 80 nucleotides in length. Their secondary structure includes four short double-helical elements and three loops (D, anti-codon, and T loops). The record is from Rfam by way of RNAcentral. Lineage: Eukaryota; Metazoa; Chordata; Testudines; Cheloniidae.
GGAAGGGUGGUCCUGUGGUUAGGACACUAGACUGGGACUCGGGAAACCAGGAUCCAUUUCUUGCUCUGCCA